AUGCACGGGCUGGGCGGCCACGUUCGAGCAUGGGGAGGUGCGCGUAGGGCGGCGCAGCAUGGCUGUGUCGGGGAGGACGCGGAUCUAGCAGCUCUGAGGAGGGUCGCUUCGGGCCAGGGGCCUCGAUUUCGCGGCGACGGCUCGGGUGCGCGGGAUCCGACGCUGGAGGGAGCGAGGCGGCACGCAAGGGCUACGGCGGGCGUGGCCGCGCUGGGGCGCGAGGGGGCAGCCAAGUGCUGGCGGGCUGGAUCUGCUAGGCUAUCCGCGGCUGCCGGCCCGGAAGGGGCAUUGCCGGCUGGUGGUGGUGCCCGCUUGUCGCUUGUAGGAGCACGGAGGCUCCGACUGCGGUUGGAUGCGGGGCGCAGGACCCGAUCUAGUCUCUGCAGGCCCGUCGUCUGGGAGGCUUGCUGGUGGCCCUGCACAUCGGUGGCGUGCUUGCUAUGUGCAGGGUGCGCGGUCCAAUGGAGGUACGGGUCGACCUCGGCCUACUGCAUGGGAGUGGCUGCUCCGGGUGAAAGCCUGGCCGGUGCUGGCCGGCCGGCGGCGACGGCGCCUGUGGGCAUCGCUAUCCUCCUUGCAGGCGUCGUCGGGGAUCUCACAACCACUGCUCCCGGAUCAAGCCCUUCGGGUGAAAGCCCAGAUCCUGUUGCAGGGUUGGCGGUGGUGUCGUCUUCAACGUUGUUCCCCUCUUUAGGGCGCCGCCUUGAAGACUUUGAUCCCUUUGGUGCUUCCUACAACUCGACGUGCACGGUGGCUUCUGUGGCAACGAUGACGGCGGUGAGCAAUGUCGGAGGCGUGACCUUGGUCAUGGUAGUCGGCCCUUCUUCUCUGUCUGUUGUUGUGAAGUCGAAGCCAUGGUGGGGCCGAUGGUAUACGAUGAUGCGAGACAGGUGGCUCGGUCGGUGA
This 906-nucleotide ribosomal RNA is filed under the name Triticum aestivum (bread wheat). Its description in RNAcentral is "partial small subunit ribosomal RNA". Lineage: Eukaryota; Viridiplantae; Streptophyta; Magnoliopsida; Poales; Poaceae. The record is from RNAcentral.